UGGACGGAGGCCUGCUGCCCACCCAGGAGGCCCACGGUGACGGGAGGGGAAGAGGGUCCUCGGUCGGCCGUGCACACUGAGGGAGACCAGCGGCGUCCAGAGCUGGCGGGACCUGUGGGCACUCCGCUGCGGGGAGCGGACAGCUGGCCGGGGCCUGCAGCACUCUGGGCAGGGAGGCCCCUUGGGUGGCAGGCGUCUCAUGGGCCCCUGAGGUGGGGAGCGGCCGGAUGGGGCUGUCGUCGUGUGUCCGUCCGCACCCUCUCUGGUCAGGGUCCCGCCCGGCCCGGCAGGCCCAGCGUCCUGGGCUGGGUCUCUCAGGGUGAAGGCCUCUGCACCGUCGUGCGCUCCCUCCGGUCCGUUUUUCUGUCUCACGCCCCGAAACCCAGCGUUUGUCGGCUGGGGGAGCCGGAACUGGGUGCGUGGGGUCCUGCUGCCCCCGUCAGCGGCCCUGGAGCAGGAGUGGGGGUCGGCGUUGUGGCUGCUCCCCCAAGCCUGUCUCCCCGUGGGGGGGUGCGGGGGUGCCCCCGAGGCUGGGUGAGGACAGGCCGGCCUCCCGGCCUCUGUGGGGAAGAGGGUGUCCAUUCUUUGCCCUCCAGGGUCCAGCCCAGGCUGAGCGUGAGGCAUCUGGGCCAACCGUGUGGAGGACGCCACAGACAUCUCCUUUCUCUGGGGCCCCCCCCAUUCCCGCCCCCAGGAGAUGCGUCCCCAGCCGCCGCGGCACCUGCCCCAUCCGCCCUCUGCGGCAGAGGGGGGGCGAGCCGGGGCCUGCCCAGUGCCCCCGGAAGUCUUGGCCGCCUUUGGGGGCGUGGUGGUGUCAGCAGAGUGAAGCAGGCACCCUGGUGGUCCUCCCCCUGGGGUACCCCUGGUGGUGGGUUUGUAGGUCUGCCCCCCACCCCACACCCAGUGCCUUCUGCAGCUGGACACACCCCGUCCACACCCAGCCCGCCCCGCUGCCCUGGACCACUCUGGAGCCCAGGAGGGGGCCCUGUGGGGUCUGGCCUCGGGGUCCCCCGGCUGCCCUACCCCAAGCCAGAAGCCCCCGGCAUCCCCUCCCCCGGCCUCCUGCGUCACCAGGCCCAUGGCGUCCUGGGGCCGAGCCCCCCUUCUUCUCCUCGGGUGCUGUCAUCGUAA
RNAcentral lists this long non-coding RNA (1131 nucleotides) under Bos mutus (wild yak). Its description in RNAcentral is "lncRNA (ENSBMUG00000000937.1)". Lineage: Eukaryota; Metazoa; Chordata; Mammalia; Artiodactyla; Bovidae. The record is from RNAcentral.